Molecule: unclassified non-coding RNA, 687 nt
Filed under: Hevea brasiliensis (rubber tree)
Lineage: Eukaryota; Viridiplantae; Streptophyta; Magnoliopsida; Malpighiales; Euphorbiaceae
Source: RNAcentral
GAAUCCCUAAUCCUAUCGCGGCCCAUUCUAUUACUGGUUUUUGAAAUAGCAACGACCCUCUCAUUUUAUCUCCAAAUCUCCAAUCGGUUGUUUCUUCCCUUUUCUCUGCUAUGUGAUGAAUUCUGAUAUAUAGAAUGAAAUCAUCACGAAGUAAUCCACCCAACAGCCACCAAACCAUAAUCCUCAAAUCUGCAAUCUGCUCUAGACUCCUACUUAUAGGGCUUUUGCUUUUCCUCCUCUGGCGCACUGUUCUUCAUCCCUAUGACACUUCCUCUCCCCUGAACCCUAAUUGCCUCUCUUCAAACUCCAUCACCCAUCAUCAUAAUCAUAACCAAAACAGUCUAUUGCCACAGCUUGGCUCUACAAUUGAGGACAGUAUUGUAUGGGAUAGUGUCUACUUUGUUCGAAUUGCUGAAUGUGGGUAUGAGUAUGAGCAGUCUUACGCCUUCUUGCCUCUGCUUCCCAUUUGUAUUUUUGUUUUGUCUCAUACAGUGUUCGCACCAUUAGUUCCUUUUAUUGGACUCAGGGCUGUCCUGGCAUUGGCCGGAUAUGCGGUUAAUAAUGUUGCAUUUGUGUUUGCAGCAAUUUAUCUUUAUAGGCUUUCAGCUAUUAUCUUGAACGAUCAUGAAGCAGCACUACGGGCUUCACUUUUGUUUUGCUUCAAUCCAGCUUCCAUAUUUUAUUCUU